This 138-nucleotide non-coding RNA is filed under the name human gut metagenome. RNAcentral describes it as "FMN riboswitch (RFN element)". It matches the Rfam family "FMN riboswitch aptamer (RFN element)". Rfam says of the family: The RFN element is a highly conserved domain that is found frequently in the 5'-untranslated regions of prokaryotic mRNAs that encode for flavin mononucleotide (FMN) biosynthesis and transport proteins. This element is a metabolite-dependent riboswitch that directly binds FMN in the absence of proteins. In Bacillus subtilis, the riboswitch most likely controls gene expression by causing premature transcription termination within the 5' untranslated region of the ribDEAHT operon and precluding access to the ribosome-binding site of ypaA mRNA. The record is from RNAcentral.
UCUCUUCAGGGCAAGGUGAAAUUCCUGACCGGUGGUAAUGGAGCGCUGCUCCUAGCCCACGAGCCGCGAGGCAGACCCGGUGCGAUUCCGGGGCCGACAGUAAUGGAGCGCGUCUCCACAGUCUGGAUGAAAGAAGAG